AGGCAUAGGGCUGAUGCAUCGCAGUGUCCACAUAUGCAGGGAGGCUGGUUUCCUAGGAAGCCUCCCAAUGAGGAAAUUGUUGGGAAUGUGCUGCAAGGCGCUGCCUCGCUCUGGAGCCAGACGAGAGGCCGGAGCAUCCGCCCCAACAUGGCUGGCUGUGUGAGCCUCAGGAACGCUGGCAGCUCUGCAAGACUCUCUGCCAUCUGCAAAAUGUGGAGGAGGAAAAUGAGCUGCAGAAGGAUCAAAUGACCUGCCUGAGGUGCCCUAUCUGUUGGCACAGGCCAGAGCACAUGGUGGAUGCAGGGGCACCCCCUUCCCUUCUCCUCCCCUCCGGCUCUUUGCUGACAGGAUUCUCUCUUGCCUUCUCUGAUGGUACCUGUGCUACGUGCCACAUCCUUUCCCUCAAUGAAUUUCAGGCAGUGGAAGGGGCCGCAGAAGUUCCUUGACUCAUGAGGCGAGGCAUUCAGCGGCCUCGUGACACCUCCCAGGAUCUGCAGUCAUUGGGCUGCACUUGCCAAUAGCAACACCUGGCAAAAAUAGCUAAGAAGCAGAGCGGCCUGGGCUCAGGAGCUGAGCAACCCCUGACUGGCCAGAUGGAGACUGUGUUGAGCUCUGCCCAAGCCCUGUGAUCCUGGAAAACAGUGAAGUUAAGGAGCCAUCUGCAUUCUAGGGAAUGGCCCACUGCAAAAAAUAGCCUUCCUUAUAGGACGUAGAGGACUCAUGAUGUCCCCUCAUUUAUGAUGAGCCAACACACAGCCCUUCCAAAUUCCGAUUCUUUGCUUCAUAACUGAUGAGCUGUUUUGUUCCCACUGGUCAAUCGGAACAACAUUCUUGCUAACCAGAUUUUGGUUCAGCUCUUCUCCCUCCCCAUGUACCUGCCCUGUGUCCUGUCCUCAUCCUGAGCCAGCACACACCCCUCCUUAGUAGCUCCUCCUGCAGCAGGCUGACCUCGGACUCUCCCUGAUCCAUUGUCCAAAUAUAUCACCCUUUCACCCUACAUCCUCACACCCCAUUCUUUCUAGUUUUGUUCAUUCCUCCCUGUGAAAGAUGAACCCUCUUUGCCUAACCCCGGACCUGCUUGCAGACUGCUAUGAUGGCCAGAGUGUCCCCCCUACUGCAAGAGUCCCUUCUGUCCCUUGCAACAUCUUUUAAAUAAAAUCUCUCUUUACCAA
Molecule: long non-coding RNA, 1172 nt
Filed under: Homo sapiens (human)
Lineage: Eukaryota; Metazoa; Chordata; Mammalia; Primates; Hominidae
Description: HSALNT0380212
Source: RNAcentral